UUAUGAUUUACAAAACAGAUUUAAUUCCUAAUGCUGGGCCCAGGAGCAUCAUUUCCAGGAGGACUGGAGCUAGUUCCAGCAUCAGUGUUCCCGGGUAGUGGGAUGCUGGGGCUUGGUCCUACAGUGGGUGUGUAGUUGAGCCCAAAGGACACUCAAGGUUGGAUUGAAACUUGUUUCAGCAUCAGCGGCGGGCUAAAACAUGGUCCUGCAACUCCUGUGUUGUAGAAAUUAGGGUUCACCAGUGGAAAACUCAGCAUCCCACCCAUCCGUAAAUUCGUAGCCCUGUUCUUUUCCAGUUCAUCCAUUCAGGCUAUGAUGUCCUGCAUCGUUUUCUCCGCCAAACGUCAUAUUUCGGUCAUAUUAUUUAGAGGGAAAUAUUUAUCAAGCAACAAUCUUAC
Molecule: long non-coding RNA, 398 nt
Filed under: Olea europaea (common olive)
Lineage: Eukaryota; Viridiplantae; Streptophyta; Magnoliopsida; Lamiales; Oleaceae
Description: long non-coding RNA (OEUR_LNC005847)
Source: RNAcentral